AAUUUUCCACUCCCUAACCCACCCACAUGUGAUUGUGUCCUGAAUUCUUGGUGUGUGACGAUGAACCCCAGGGUGUAUACCCCAGACAGCACAGCCACUUCACCAGCAGGGACAGCAGCUGUCACAUGAACUGGAGAUGAACUGGAGGCUGCUUCAUGACAAGAGGUUCCAUGCUGACAGCAUCUGGGGAAACCUCGCUGGGCCUCGGAGGUCCUUCCUAUGGGUGAUAUGCCACCCACCCUGGGUCGAGAGUCAGAGAAGCGCGGCCGGUCCCACUGCUGGCUUCGCCUGCCUGUUUCCCACAGCUUCCCUCUAGUCAUCCACCUACACCUGCUGCCCAGUUCCCUAGAAACCUGCCUAGUGUAAAAGGAAGCAACUCUGGAGAACAGAAUGAGAAAUCAGAAAGCAAGGCCCUGUCCUCUGAGUUCUGUCCUGGAUGGGGACUGAGGAAGGUUUAUGUGGUCCAGAGAGGCUGCAUCAGUCUCAGGCCCCUAAGCCUUGCCUGGUUCAACAGUAUUAUUUCACUCACGCUGGUCACCCCAUUGUUAGAAAGAGCAAGGAAAGGAGGAUGAGAAAGGAAGAGAGGGAGGGAGAAAAUUGUCCCCAAGAAAAGGAAACUAUUGUCUGGUAAGAUUCAGCCCACUUUUCUUGUUAAAUGAUGUGAAUUCAAAUUGUUGAUAUAUAUCACCAACUUGACAUGUGAAACUAUUGUCUCAAAGCAUAUUAUAAAAUACUAUAUAUGAAAACAUUGACAAAUAUACUGUAGUUGAUGAGUACCAGAUAUGAUUAUUGUUCUUUUCAUGUGUGAUUACAGGUGAUGGACAGAUGGUUUCCUCAAUUUAUAUAAAUACAACUUAGAAUCUCAUUAGUCAGUACAAUUUUCUGAAGGAGCAACGUGGAUGAACAGAGGCUAGAUUCCAGAGCCCAGAGACGUUAAUGGAUGUGCAGGAGAUGGAGAAAUAGAAUCUACAAGGAAAGUGAAACGAACAAGCUUGGAAAGCAGGAACGCUUCAAGAAUUUGAUGUACAGCAAGAUGGUUAUUUAUCAAAAAGAGAAAAGGGCAAGAAAAAGUUGGGGAAGCCAAGUU
This 1087-nucleotide long non-coding RNA is filed under the name Homo sapiens (human). RNAcentral describes it as "long non-coding RNA NONHSAT166270.1". Lineage: Eukaryota; Metazoa; Chordata; Mammalia; Primates; Hominidae. The record is from RNAcentral.